UCUUAAAGUGCUGGGAUUACAGGGGAGAUCUUCGAGCUGAAGGCAGAGCUCAACAGUGACAAGAAGGAGAAGAAGAAGGAGGCAGUGAAGAAAGUGAUCGCAUCGAUGACCGUGGGCAAAGAUGUCAGGGGACUCCAGCCAGCUUGAGCUAUGCGGAUUCUGAGCGUGAUCCCGGGUAGGCGUUUGCCCCGGUGGAACGCCUUGUCAGAGCAGUGCACGGCAGGCCCCCGCAGAGGAUCAACGCAGUGGCUGAGCAACGGGAAGGAACUGGCGCUUGGAGUCCGGAUAUCUGGAACACGGUGAUUCUCAUCUGCUGGCCUGGAGGUGGCCUGCCAUGUAAGAGGACACACAGCAUACCAUGGAGCUGCUGCGUGCCCCAAUCCUGUGCACACUCAACGCCUGGCUUCUGCUUUCCCAGCUCUGACAAUCCUAAUUCUGGCUUCCAAAGCAAACCUGUACUUCCUUCGCAGUUCUCAGACUUGCCUAAACUGUUUAACGUUUUAAUCAAUGUUGUGACCACGACUGAGCUGUGACACUUGAUAUAUCAUAGUAUAUUUUUAUCCAUUUAUAGAUUUGUUAAUAGCAUUUAACUUCAUUUUUCAGAGUUUUAGGAACAUUUCUGGGCUAGGUGUGCUGGCUCAUGGCUGUAAUCCUGACAUUUUGGGAGGCUAAGGCAGGAGGAUUGCUUCAGGUCAGAAGUUUGAGACCAGCCUGGGCAACAUAGUGAGACCUCUUCUCUACAAAAAAUGUUUUAAAAAUUAGCCAGGUGUGGUAGUGAGCUCUUGUUUCCCUAGCUACGUGGAAGACUGAUGUGGGAGGAUCGUUUGAGCCAAGGAGUUUGAGGCUGCAGUGAGCUAUGAUCAUGCACUGCAUGCCAGCCUGGGUGACAAAGCAAGACCUGUCUCUUAAAAAUAAAAAGCAUUACUGAG
Molecule: long non-coding RNA, 929 nt
Organism: Symphalangus syndactylus (siamang)
Lineage: Eukaryota; Metazoa; Chordata; Mammalia; Primates; Hylobatidae
Source: RefSeq, a predicted model, not a curated record